GUGGGGAAUAUUGGACAAUGGGCGAAAGCCUGAUCCAGCAAUGCCGCGUGAGUGAAGAAGGCCUUCGGGUUGUAAAGCUCUUUUACCCGGGAAGAUAAUGACUGUACCGGGAGAAUAAGCCCCGGCUAACUCCGUGCCAGCAGCCGCGGUAAUACGGAGGGGGCUAGCGUUGUUCGGAAUUACUGGGCGUAAAGCGCACGUAGGCGGUCUUUUAAGUCAGAGGUGAAAGCCCGGGGCUCAACUCCGGAAUUGCCUUUGAAACUGGAAGACUUGAACACGGGAGAGGUGAGUGGAAUUCCGAGUGUAGAGGUGAAAUUCGUAGAUAUUCGGAGGAACACCAGUGGCGAAGGCGGCUCACUGGACCGUUGUUGACGCUGAGGUGCGAAAGCGUGGGGAGCAAACAGGAUUAGAAACCCUAGUAGUCC
RNAcentral lists this ribosomal RNA (425 nucleotides) under uncultured bacterium. RNAcentral describes it as "bacterial SSU rRNA". It matches the Rfam family "Bacterial small subunit ribosomal RNA", at positions 354 to 796 of the family's 1533-position model. The record is from RNAcentral.